Molecule: non-coding RNA, 577 nt
Organism: Carassius carassius (crucian carp)
Lineage: Eukaryota; Metazoa; Chordata; Actinopteri; Cypriniformes; Cyprinidae
Source: the annotation of a RefSeq genome assembly
GUGUUUAUAGCGUUCAGACUCAAACACUUUAUAACACACUGCUGUUUACCACGGUACAAAACCAGCAAACACAAUGAAUCUCUUCAGCAGCUUCAUCUGGAUUCUGACAGCUUUUCUUCCAGCAUCCAGAGGAAUCACUGUGACUCAGCCUGAAGUUCGGACUGUUUCUGGAGGACAAGACGUCACUAUAGAGUGUAAAACUGAUCCUGGAAUAGAUAGCUGGGGUUUAGCUUGGUAUCAGCAGAAACCUGGAGAAACUCCUAAACUCAUCAUUUAUCAAGUUAACGAUCGCUAUGGUAACAGUUUCAGUCGAUUCAGUGGGAAUGGAAGAUCUGGUGGAACAGAUUUCACUCUGAGCAUCAGUGGAGUCCAGACUGAAGAUGCUGGACAUUAUUACUGUAUGAGUCGACACUCUAUCAGUAGUAACUAUGUGUUCACACAGUGAUUGUGAGUCGUACAAAAACCUGUGUCAGUCAGAGUCACAGUGACUGAACUGAUGCUGCAGCUGAUCAAACACUAUCACUCACUACUGACACACAGAGACCAAACACAGAACUACACAUGAGCUCACAACUGA